UUUUUUUUUUUUUUUUUUCCCUCUUUACAGAUGAGAAACUGAAGCACAGAGAAGCAAAGUCUCUUACCCAAAGUCACGCCACCUGUAGCUGGCAAGGCUGGAAUCCAGACCCAAGCUGACUGGCUCUGAAGCCCACUGCUUCCCGCUGAAGCUUUGGCAUCAAGCAGUGAAGGGGUGGGGUUUGCAUGGGGUCGGGGAAAGAUCCAUUUGGUUCUUGUACAAAUGGUGGCAAGUUUGAGGCCCUCAGGCUGGGAGGAAGAGGCUAUAAAAUUUGUCAAGAGCCUCAAAUGACACCCUGAAGGAUUUGGGCCUGCAACUAAGCAGCAGAUAGGAUUCUCAGGCCACCCAGUACGGUGGGCGAGACACAUACUUUGCUACUCAAAGACCAGCAAGCUUGAGCCUCAUCUUGGAGUUGGUUCUACAGGGCAGAGUCUCAGGCCCCAGCCUGACCCGGCUGAGUUAGAAUCUACAUUUAACAAGGUUAAAGUCUGGAUUACAUUCAAUUCAUCUGGUCUGUGAUCCCAUCCCACUGGGAUGAAGGCAAGCAAGCCCAGCCUUGAUCAUUCUGGGGGUUCCCUCCUCUGCGGAGUUGGCUCAGUUCCAGAGGCUUAGAGAGUCCCCAAAAAUCUGAGGUGGCUCCCAGGAAUCUGUCUACACUGCUUGCCCUAUAGCUCCUCAGCUCGCAUCUUGCUCUAAAUUAAGCCAAAAGGCUACUCCUUUUGCUAAUAUUGGAAUGUGGUUCUCCCUCUCACUUCCUUCUGGAAACUGCAUUCCCUGAGCAAAACCCCAUUCCCUGAGCAAGAACAGGGGCAUAUCAGCCAUGCAUUCAUCUACACACCCUCCCUCCAAAGGGAAUGUCCCCCCCGAGUCCCCCAGCAUCCCCCUGGCCCAGGGCCGCAGCAGGUGCUCAGUACAUAUCUGUGACCCAAAGACGGCCAAACCAUUGUCCCACUCAAGGGGCCCCACAGGCUCAGCAGCACUGCGUGGCCCUGGGGUCUAUAGUGAGGUCAGAGGCCUUGCAACUCAGGGCUGGCUUCCUGUAGCCACCCCUUGAUGCUUACCCCAAGGCCAUGUCCCCAGGUCCCCACGCACACAGGUCCCGUCCAGUCUGGAAGCCCCGGCUGCUCCACCAUGUUCUUCCUCUACCCCAGCUGCUCCUGAUUCUCUCCAGUAAUUUCUUCCAUUUGAGACUUUGACCAGAAGUCAGAGAGUCUUAACUAUGGGCCGCCCUUCUGCCCAAAUCCCAGCAGUACCUACUGACUACACCCAAUUAUUUGCUGGAAGCUGGGGAGAGAAAAGCCCGGAGGCGCAGACUCAGGCUAAUAUGGCCUAAUUUGGCCUGUUUCCCUCUCUUUGCCUCAGUCUCCUCUGCUCCAGGGGGUCAAUUACUACUUUCUUGGCUGGACAGGGCAUGACACUCACAGAGAGAGGAAACUCCAGUGGUGUAUUUCAGGCACGAGACCACCCAGUGCUCCAGGCACUUGGGAGUAGGAGAGGGAGGAGAGUGGGUUGUGGAUAAGGAGGGCACAUAAGGGAUUUGGUACCAAAGGGUCUGGUUCAUCACCUUGUUUGCCGCCAAUGCCAUGUCACUCAAGUGGUCUCUGCCCCUCGUGGAACUUCAGUUUGCUCAACUGCACAAAUGAAGAGGCAUGAGAGGAGUCAACUCUGGCCAGGCAAGAUGGGAGCCGAGGAGCUACAGGGCAAGCAGCUGCCAGGCUCCCAUGACUUAAUGGGCUCUGGAGGGGACCUCCCAUCCCGCCUUCCUCCUUGCUCCGGAGGCAGCAGCAGUGUGGAGGCUGGUGUGGCCACCUGCUGUCCCCAAGGCCACAGAAGCUGAGCGGAGAAAGUGGUGUAUGUUACUUUGGUUUUCCCUGAGAGCCAGGCCAGUUCCUGCCCAGGGACAGAAACUUCCUCUCGGAACAGGAAUGAAGCCAACUGGACUCCUGGCCUGCCUGCCUGGGAAGGAAACCCAACUUCAAUGAGGACAUCUGUUCUUCGAGGAAUCCCAGCCCAAGCAGGGCUGUCAGGGCAGAGGAGCCCAUGCCCCCCAGUCGAACAACUGGUGCCUCUUGGACAGAGCUGCUGGCCACUGAUCCCCCUCUUUUACUCCGUCUAUGUUAUUUACUGAGGCCCUGCUCUGUGUAAGCAACAGCUCCAGGCACAGGAGAACAGACAUAAGGACCCUGCAUGGAGCUCAAAUUUGAAAGGGGGAAAGUCAGAGCCACCAAGAAGUAUAUAAUAUUUAUAUGCAAUCAAGAAAAAGUGGGGUAAGAAAUGAUGGGACAUUUUUAGACAGAGUGGUUGGGAUGGGCUUCUCUGAGGAGGGGACAUUUAGGUAGAGACCCAAAGGAAGAGAUGGAGCAAGCCAGGUAGCUAGCUGGGGAGAGGGGGCCCUGGGUCCAGGGAGCAAGUACAAAGGCCAUGAGGUGGGCAAUUGCUCGGCAUGUUCAAGGAAUGCAGAGGAGAUGACUAUCGCUGGAGUAGCGUGAGCCAGGGCAAGAGAAGGGGUAGUCGGUGAGGUCAGGAAGGGCUUUGUGGGCCACACUGAGUCCUAGGUUUUACUGCAAGAGGCAACAGGAAAGGCUACUGGGAGGUUUAGACCCAAGGCAGGAUAGGAUGGGGAGGCUGGAGAGCAAGCAGGAACCCAGUGAGGUGGUAACUGCUCUAACCCAGGUGAGAGCUGGAGAUGGUGGGGCCAGAGGGUGACACAGGCAGUAAGAAGUGGUCAGAUUCGGAGUCUCUUUGAAAGGUAGAUCCAGAGGAUCGUCGGGCAGGACAGUGAGUAGGGAGGAAGAAAAAGUGAGGACACCUGAGCAAGCACAGGAACACAGGAACAGAGCUGAGAUGGAGAAGUCAAGGCAGAAGCAGGCACCAAACAGGGUUCUUGGCAGCUGUUCCUCCCCAGCACAGUCGCAUUCUCUCUCUCACACACAUACACACCCUUGCCCUUUUUAUCUAUUAAGCCUGCCCUCAACCUGUUAUCAGAUAAGGACACUGAGGCUGGGAAGCACCCAAGA
This 3017-nucleotide long non-coding RNA is filed under the name Canis lupus familiaris (dog). RNAcentral describes it as "lncRNA (ENSCAFG00000053744.1)". The record is from RNAcentral. Lineage: Eukaryota; Metazoa; Chordata; Mammalia; Carnivora; Canidae.